GACCCAGUAGUCCAGUAUGGAUAGGGCGCUGGCUUGCGGAGCCAGAUAUCGAGGGUUCAAAUCCCCCCUGGGUCACCA
RNAcentral lists this transfer RNA (78 nucleotides) under Promethearchaeota archaeon. RNAcentral's name for it is "Candidatus Lokiarchaeota archaeon (microbial mat metagenome) tRNA-Arg". It matches the Rfam family "tRNA". From Rfam's summary of the family: Transfer RNA (tRNA) molecules are approximately 80 nucleotides in length. Their secondary structure includes four short double-helical elements and three loops (D, anti-codon, and T loops). Further hydrogen bonds mediate the characteristic L-shaped molecular structure. tRNAs have two regions of fundamental functional importance: the anti-codon, which is responsible for specific mRNA codon recognition, and the 3' end, to which the tRNAs corresponding amino acid is attached (by aminoacyl-tRNA synthetases). tRNAs cope with the degeneracy of the genetic code in two manners: having more than one tRNA (with a specific anti-codon) for a particular amino acid; and 'wobble' base-pairing, i.e. permitting non-standard base-pairing at the 3rd anti-codon position. The record is from RNAcentral. Lineage: Archaea; Promethearchaeati; Promethearchaeota.